Molecule: long non-coding RNA, 1003 nt
Organism: Asparagus officinalis (garden asparagus)
Lineage: Eukaryota; Viridiplantae; Streptophyta; Magnoliopsida; Asparagales; Asparagaceae
Exons: 5
Source: RefSeq, a predicted model, not a curated record
UUUAUAAAAGCUGAUUUUCUUCUUCUUCUUUUUCACUUUGUUUCAGAACUCCUCUUCCCCAAGGACUCUUCAAAUUCGGAACUCCUCAUCAACAAGGAUUCUGAGCUUUCCUUUCUUCUCUUUAAAUUGUUGGAUUUUGGCUAAUAUUCCCCUUCCAGACUUAGGGUUUUGAUUCUUACCUUGGUGUUAAAGCUUCUCAUUGGUAACGAGCUUUGUUCUUCAUGAACUCCAGGGUUUCAGAUUUGAUUGUGUUCGAGCCGAUUGUUGUGGAUUCUUCUUGAACGAACCAGUGUUCCCUUCCCCAUCAAGCUUGUUCUCUCUGAUUCAGAUUAGCUAUGUUGACGAGGAGAUCACGUAUCCUAAAGAGGUCGGCUACUGAGUUACCUGAGAGGGAGGCUCUAUCUUUCGCAGGACGAGGUAUAUCAUUAUGCUAUUUUCACGACAAUAUACGUUAUCUUACGUGUGCGUGAUAUGGUUGAAAUCGUCUCGCUAAUUACAAGUUGAAUUCCCUUCGGAUGUGUUCUUGCCUUUCGAGGUAGAUGGUCAUAGGGUGAGCAUUAUGCUAAUAUCGAUGAUCCAACGUUAAUCCCGCCAACUCCUCAAUUUGGUUCGGACAUUCCUGAAAAUUCUCUCGAUUGGUGUGAGAGGGACAUCAUCGUACUUUGCCUUAGCUAAUUACCGACGCACCGCUUACAGAUAAUGAGGGUUCUACCCGACCUCCCAGGAAGACAGAUUAUUUAUUUGGAGAUUCCAUUGAAGAUCAGAUAGUCGUAUCUCUGAAGGAUGAGCAAUGGUUACACAAAGACAUGGUAGGCUGCUUAUAUCUUCCACCAAUCCCUCGUCAUCGCUAACUGAUUAAGUUACAGAAGCAAGCAGUGACACGCGAAAUGUCAUGGAAUUUGACAGAGGAGCACACUCAUGCCACUGCGGAUAUUGUUAGCCUUUAUGUUUUGAUGAUAAUUUACAACCACCAUUAUCAGUACUAAUUACUUGUAGAGUGAUA